This is a long non-coding RNA of Sinocyclocheilus rhinocerous, 374 nucleotides long. RefSeq lists it as uncharacterized. The transcript has 3 exons. The record is from RefSeq and is a predicted model, not a curated record. Lineage: Eukaryota; Metazoa; Chordata; Actinopteri; Cypriniformes; Cyprinidae.
AAUAGUAGGAAUCUAAGAAACGGGAACUGUGUUUGAAACACAGACCUGACGGACACAUUUCGGGGAUGGCUGUAUUAUGUCCCAAAACAAGUGUGACAUUCAACAGACGACUGUUUUAAUCAUUUCUGUACAUCGGACGGGAGAUAAUAUAACGUUGCACUCCUGCUGCAUCUCUCCUGGGCAUUUCUGUUCCCCUCACAACCUAACGGCAUUUUGCUGUGGUACGGGAACUGUCUCCAGGCUGCACCGCUUCAGAGCUCCCAGAAUUCUCCCCAUCAAAUGUGGUCACUUUUGAUAUCAAGGGCCCAUGGUGAUCUGCAUGCCACUAUAUGGACACUGUCCAUGCUGACCACAGGACCAGAAACCCAGAGCAC